UGUCUUCCUUCCAUAUAUUAGUCAUCUCCAGUGCAUAAUAUAAAACAACAAUCUAUCAUCAUUUAUCUGUGAUGAUAAUUGCCUUCACGUCAUCUCUUCUCAAAGCUUGAUCAUAACUCUCUUCUAAGCUGUUUAAUACUGGAAAAAGGAAGAAAAAAGGAAGUUAAGCAAAUGUUUGGGUAAACGAGAGAAAUUAAUCACUAACUGCGAUCCCAACCUAUGGACUGAUCAUCUCUCUACGCCCAGCCCCUCCUCUCUUUUGGUGCACAUUCUACUUUAGUCGUUGGAGGUAAGGAAAGUUCUUCACAAGUUAUGGCCCUAUAAUUUUCUUUGGGUUUUGUACAAGGUGAGUGUGUUAGGAGGGUGGGGAAUUAACCAUCUCCAUAGACAUCAAUAUGAGAUCAAAUCAAUAGAUGUCAAUUGUUAUUUGUGUUUUCAAGAUGCAAACAUUGAUUUGUAAAGUCUUUCUGACCAACAACCUGUGUUAAUAUAUAAAAUCCUUCAUAUUACCAUCAAAACUUAAUUCAUGGUCAUUAAUCAUAAAAUGCAAAUUCAUUUAUCAAAGCAUCUGAUUUACCCCAAUUAAUUAAUUCAAAUAUGAAUUUACUGGCCUUUUCACAUAGCUAAGUUAUGCAAGUAAAAGAACAAAAAUUAAAAAUUAAAAAUCAAUUCGCAGAUUUCUGUGAACACACGAGAGUUGGACUGAGCCAGUACAAACAAUUUGAAAAAGAUUAACCAACAAGCUAAAAACCACUACACAUCGAACCCAUGAUAACAUGUUUCUACAAAAUCAAAACGAAUCCAUAAAAGAACUGUAAAAUUCAAAAUGAAAUUAAUGAAAAUACAUGAAUGACGCCUNNNGCUAAAGUAGCAAAAUUGUAAAUAGUACAAAACAAUGAUAGAGAGUUAAUAGGGGGUUGAUGAUGAUGGCCAUCCCAUCACUCCCAGCAUCCAUUGUUGUUCUUCCCUUUUUUCUGCUCAUUUUUUCCUCUGUUGAUGCUUUCUCUCACCACAGAUUUGUUUCUGCCUUCCAAAGAACGAAUAUGAGAUUGUUAGAUGAUUCUAUAAAAUUAUCUGCAAGCUUAUCAAAUAGUCCUUAAAAGCAAUGACAGAAACCCCCAAUCAUUAAAUCCCUAUUGUCAAGACCAAUGCGGAAACAACUUUUGAAAGCACCACCAAAGCUUCCUCCAUUCGUGAAGCAGAAAACACCCCACACAAACCACUGAUGUUUCAUGCAAGAAUCAAAAGACAUUUGUCGGGUAUACCAGCCCUGAAAUUUUCACAUCAACAUAAUUACUGAAUAAAAACAAUUAUCCUUGCUUCGCAAGCUCCAAUAUAUAGAAACAAAGCCCACUUUAGAAGUAUGCAAACAAAUAACUAAGCUCAACUGAUUCCAAUACAAUGAACUAAGUAUAAAAUAUUUGAACUUAGAUCAAAUUUGCAUGGGCCGUGUGGAAAAUCAAGAAAUUAUGGCUUCAGAGAAUUGAAAACCUUGAAAACCCACAGGGAAAAAAAUCAUCAAACUAACUAAAAUUAGGGAAAAGAUCGAUUGGAGAAAAUAUUGGUUUUAAAAAAUCUUAUCCGACAGAAAUCGCGUUGCUACAGUAAUGGAUUCCACCAGCUAAAAAGUAGAUGCAAACCAUAUACAAAGGAACAGAAAAUAAAAAUAGUCAAUUGAAGCAUACUCAAGAUUUGAAGUAAAAAAUGAAUAACUCAAAUACACAGGAAAAUAUCAAACUAACUAAAAUUAGGGAAAAGACCAAUUGGAGAAAAUAUUAGUUUUAG
RNAcentral lists this long non-coding RNA (1785 nucleotides) under Olea europaea subsp. europaea. Lineage: Eukaryota; Viridiplantae; Streptophyta; Magnoliopsida; Lamiales; Oleaceae. The record is from RNAcentral.